This 701-nucleotide ribosomal RNA is filed under the name uncultured Providencia sp. RNAcentral describes it as "bacterial SSU rRNA". It matches the Rfam family "Bacterial small subunit ribosomal RNA", at positions 801 to 1502 of the family's 1533-position model. The record is from RNAcentral. Lineage: Bacteria; Pseudomonadati; Pseudomonadota; Gammaproteobacteria; Enterobacterales; Morganellaceae.
UGUAAACGAUGUCGAUUUGGAGGUUGUUCCCUUGAGGAGUGGCUUCCGGAGCUAACGCGUUAAAUCGACCGCUGGGGAGUACGGCCGCAAGGUUAAAACUCAAAUGAAUUGACGGGGGCCCGCACAAGCGGUGGAGCAUGUGGUUUAAUUCGAUGCAACGCGAAGAACCUUACCUACUCUUGACAUCCAGAGAAUUUAGCAGAGAUGCUUUAGUGCCUUCGGGAACUCUGAGACAGGUGCUGCAUGGCUGUCGUCAGCUCGUGUUGUGAAAUGUUGGGUUAAGUCCCGCAACGAGCGCAACCCUUAUCCUUUGUUGCCAGCACAUUAUGGUGGGAACUCAAAGGAGACUGCCGGUGAUAAACCGGAGGAAGGUGGGGAUGACGUCAAGUCAUCAUGGCCCUUACGAGUAGGGCUACACACGUGCUACAAUGGCGUAUACAAAGAGAAGCGACCUCGCGAGAGCAAGCGGAACUCAUAAAGUACGUCGUAGUCUGGAUUGGAGUCUGCAACUCGACUCCAUGAAGUCGGAAUCGCUAGUAAUCGUAGAUCAGAAUGCUACGGUGAAUACGUUCCCGGGCCUUGUACACACCGCCCGUCACACCAUGGGAGUGGGUUGCAAAAGAAGUAGGUAGCUUAACCUUCGGGAGGGCGCUUACCACUUUGUGAUCCAUGACUGGGGUGAAGUCGUAACAAGGUAACCA